CCUACGGGGGGCUGCAGUGGGGAAUAUUGGACAAUGGGCGAAAGCCUGAUCCAGCCAUGCCGCGUGUGUGAAGAAGGCCUUCGGGUUGUAAAGCACUUUCAGUGGGGAAGAAAGCCUUGGGGCUAAUACCCUCGAGGAAGGACAUCACCCACAGAAGAAGCACCGGCUAACUCCGUGCCAGCAGCCGCGGUAAUACGGAGGGUGCGAGCAGUUAAUCGGAAUUACUGGGCGUAAAGCGCGCGUAGGCGGUCUGAUAAGCCGGGUGUGAAAGCCCCGGGCUCAACCUGGGAACGGCAUCCGGAACUGUCAGGCUAGAGUGCAGGAGAGGAAGGUAGAAUUCCCUGUGUAGCGGUGAAAUGCGUAGAGAUCGGGAGGAAUACCAGUGGCGAAGGCGGCCUUCUGGACUGACACUGACGCUGAGGUGCGAAAGCGUGGGUAGCAAACAGGAUUAGAUACCCGGGUAGUC
Molecule: ribosomal RNA, 466 nt
Filed under: Vreelandella stevensii
Lineage: Bacteria; Pseudomonadati; Pseudomonadota; Gammaproteobacteria; Oceanospirillales; Halomonadaceae
Description: partial 16S ribosomal RNA
Rfam family: Bacterial small subunit ribosomal RNA
Source: RNAcentral